Caenorhabditis elegans is the source of this 525-nucleotide non-coding RNA. Lineage: Eukaryota; Metazoa; Nematoda; Chromadorea; Rhabditida; Rhabditidae. The record is from Ensembl.
AUACUUUUAGAAAGACAAUACCUUCCACUAGCAUCUCUUUUUAGAUCAUUCACAACUCCUUUAGAAUUAUGAGGAAUAUUAUUCUGUACUAGAUACUUUUUGAUUGUUUUAGGUGAUAUUCCUGUUUUCUUAGAAUAAGAUGAAAUACUAUUCAUUUUAAAAUCAUAUAUUUUCAGCUCUUCUAUCAAUUGUUGUACUUCCAUUUAUUUAGAAAAUUAUUUAAAAUACCUUUUUACUUUACUUUACUUUAUUACUUUACUUUUCUCUAUUAACUUACCAUAUUGCCAUACCUUAUUACAAUAUUACUUGACUUUAUUACUUCAAAUUUUUUACUGUAAUAAAUGACAGAGUUGAGACUAUCCAGAUUUAUAAAAGAUGUACAAAAACUUAAUAGAGCAUCAAAUGUAGACUUGACAGAAAUAAGUAUGUAUACGAAAAAUGAAAAUACUAGAGAAACUGCUCAGAACUAUUUAGAUGCUAUUGAAAAUAUGAUAACCAGUGUAGAAAGUUCUAAAAUAUCUGAUG